AAACAAAAUAUAUAUUGAUCGCUGAUAACUGUAUCGUAAAAUAAGACAACAAAGUCAACAACAACAAAUCAACCAGCCACCUGCACUUUAAAUCAUUCAAAUAGUGAUUUGGUGUUGUUUGAAUAAGAAAACAAAAAAAAAAAAA
Ceratitis capitata (Mediterranean fruit fly) is the source of this 145-nucleotide long non-coding RNA. RefSeq lists it as uncharacterized. NCBI's taxonomy places the organism in Eukaryota, Metazoa, Arthropoda, Insecta, Diptera, Tephritidae. The record is from RefSeq and is a predicted model, not a curated record. The transcript has 2 exons.